AGGGCACCGUGCGUGAAAUUGAGUAGGGCGGGGCACGAGAAACCCUGUCUGAACAUGGGGGGACCAUCCUCCAAGGCUAAAUACUCCUGACUGACCGAUAGCGAACAAGUACCGUGAGGGAAAGGCGAAAAGAACCCCGGAGAGGGGAGUGAAAUAGACCCUGAAACCGUAUACGUACAAGCAGUGGAAGCCCGCAAGGGUGACUGCGUACCUUUUGUAUAAUGGGUCAGCGACUUACUGUCAGUGGCGAGCUUAACCGUCUAGGGGAGGCGAAGGGAAACCGAGUCUGAAUAGGGCGCAUAGUCUCUGGCAGUAGACCCGAAACCGAGUGAUCUAUCCUUGGCCAGGUUGAAGGUGCGGUAACACGCACUGGAGGACCGAACCCACAUCUGUUGCAAUAGAUGGGGAUGAGCUGAGGAUAGGAGUGAAAGGCUAAACAAACUCGGAGAUAGCUGGUUCUCCUCGAAAGCUAUUUAGGUAGCGCCUCGGACGAAUCUUCCUGGGGGUAGAGCACUGUUAUGGCUAGCGGGUCAUCGCGACUUAGCAAACCAUGGCAAACUCCGAAUACCAGGACAGACUAUCCGGGAGACACACGGCGGGUGCUAACGUCCGUCGUGAAAAGGGAAACAACCCAGACCCGCAGCUAAGGUCCCCAAGUUAGUGCUAAGUGGAAAACGAUGUGGAAAGGCAUAGACAGCCAGGAGGUUGGCUUAGAAGCAGCCACCCUUUAAAGAAAGCGUAAUAGCUCACUGGUCGAGUCGGUCUGCGCGGAAGAUUUAACGGGGCUAAGCACUACACCGAAGCUCGGGGUGCACACUUUGUGUGCGCGGUAGAGGAGCGUUCCGUACGCCUGUGAAGGUGGAUCGAGAGGUCUGCUGGAGGUAUCGGAAGUGCGAAUGCUGACAUGA
RNAcentral lists this ribosomal RNA (908 nucleotides) under Frateuria terrea. RNAcentral's name for it is "bacterial LSU rRNA". It matches the Rfam family "Bacterial large subunit ribosomal RNA", at positions 390 to 1305 of the family's 2925-position model. The record is from RNAcentral. Lineage: Bacteria; Pseudomonadati; Pseudomonadota; Gammaproteobacteria; Lysobacterales; Rhodanobacteraceae.